RNAcentral lists this ribosomal RNA (1051 nucleotides) under uncultured bacterium. Its description in RNAcentral is "bacterial SSU rRNA". It matches the Rfam family "Bacterial small subunit ribosomal RNA", at positions 318 to 1387 of the family's 1533-position model. The record is from RNAcentral.
ACUGAGACACGGCCCAAGCUCUUACGGGAGGCAGCAGUGGGGAAUAUUGCACAAUGGGCGAAAGCCUGAUGCAGCAACGCCGCGUGAAGGAUGAAGGGUUUCGGCUCGUAAACUUCUAUCAAUAGGGAAGAAACAAAUGACGGUACCUAAAUAAGAAGCCCCGGCUAACUACGUGCCAGCAGCCGCGGUAAUACGUAGGGGGCAAGCGUUAUCCGGAAUUACUGGGUGUAAAGGGAGCGUAGGCGGCAUGGUAAGCCAGAUGUGAAAGCCUUGGGCUUAACCCGAGGAUUGCAUUUGGAACUAUCAAGCUAGAGUACAGGAGAGGAAAGCGGAAUUCCUAGUGUAGCGGUGAAAUGCGUAGAUAUUAGGAAGAACACCAGUGGCGAAGGCGGCUUUCUGGACUGAAACUGACGCUGAGGCUCGAAAGCGUGGGGAGCAAACAGGAUUAGAUACCCUGGUAGUCCACGCCGUAAACGAUGAGUGCUAGGUGUCGGGGAGGAAUCCUCGGUGCCGCAGCUAACGCAAUAAGCACUCCACCUGGGGAGUACGACCGCGAGGUUGAAGCUCAAAGGAAUUGACGGGGGCCCGCACAAGCGGUGGAGCAUGUGGUUUAAUUCGAAGCAACGCGAAGAACCUUACCAAGGCUUGACAUCCCGAUGACCGUCCUAGAGAUAGGACUUCUCUUCGGAGCAUCGGUGACAGGUGGUGCAUGGUUGUCGUCAGCUCGUGUCGUGAGAUGUUGGGUUAAGUCCCGCAACGAGCGCAACCCUUAUCUUCAGUAGCCAUCAUUCAGUUGGGCACUCUGGAGAGACUGCCGUGGAUAACACGGAAGAAGGUGGGGAUGACGUCAAAUCAUCAUGCCCCUUAUGUCUUGGGCUACACACGUGCUACAAUGGCUGGCAACAAAGUGACGCAAGACGGCGACGUUAAGCAAAUCACAAAAACCCAGUCCCAGUUCGGAUUGUAGUCUGCAACUCGACUACAUGAAGCUGGAAUCGCUAGUAAUCGCGAAUCAGCAUGUCGCGGUGAAUACGUUCCCGGGCCUUGCACU